Long non-coding RNA from Mytilus californianus (California mussel), 236 nucleotides. RefSeq lists it as uncharacterized. The record is from RefSeq and is a predicted model, not a curated record. The transcript is spliced from 3 exons. NCBI's taxonomy places the organism in Eukaryota, Metazoa, Mollusca, Bivalvia, Mytilida, Mytilidae.
CUACAAGCAGCUGUCAUAGAUGUCUGUUUCAUACCAUCAACCUGGUUAACAUCACUUCCCUUGUCUAUAAGUAACUGUACUAUCUUCUCAUUUCCUCCACUACAAGCAGUUGUCAGAGGUGUCUGUUUCAUACCAUCAACCUGGUUAACAUCACCUCCUUUGUCUAUAAGUAACUGUACUAUCUUCUCAUUUCCUCCACUACACGCAGUUGUCAGAGGUGUGAGCCUAAACCCAUC